CAGUCGCCGCGGUAAUACGAAGGGUGCAAGCGUUAAUCGGAAUUACUGGGCGUAAAGCGUGCGUAGGCGGUUUGUUAAGUCUGCUGUGAAAUCCCCGGGCUCAACCUGGGAAUGGCAGUGGAUACUGGCAAGCUAGAGUGUGUCAGAGGAUGGUGGAAUUCCCGGUGUAGCGGUGAAAUGCGUAGAGAUCGGGAGGAACAUCAGUGGCGAAGGCGGCCAUCUGGGACAACACUGACGCUGAGGCACGAAAGCGUGGGGAGCAAACAGGAUUAGAUACCCUAGUAGUCCCUGUCUCUUAUAA
This 301-nucleotide ribosomal RNA is filed under the name uncultured bacterium. RNAcentral's name for it is "partial 16S ribosomal RNA". It matches the Rfam family "Bacterial small subunit ribosomal RNA", at positions 509 to 809 of the family's 1533-position model. The record is from RNAcentral.